GCCUUCUUAGCGCAGCGGGCAGCGCGUCAGUCUCAUAAUCUGAAGGUCCUGAGUUCGAGUCGAGUUCGAGCCUCAGAGAGGGCA
Non-coding RNA from Loxodonta africana (African savanna elephant), 84 nucleotides. NCBI's taxonomy places the organism in Eukaryota, Metazoa, Chordata, Mammalia, Proboscidea, Elephantidae. The record is from the annotation of a RefSeq genome assembly.